Long non-coding RNA from Pteropus alecto (black flying fox), 1946 nucleotides. RefSeq lists it as uncharacterized. Lineage: Eukaryota; Metazoa; Chordata; Mammalia; Chiroptera; Pteropodidae. The record is from RefSeq and is a predicted model, not a curated record. The transcript is spliced from 3 exons.
UGUAGGGAUGAGAGCUGGCACAAAGGCAAGUUUGCCCUGCCCAGGCCAGAGUCCAAACCCUGUACCUUCCCCAGGUUGUCCAGUGGAGAGACCCAUGAGGAUGUCCCAGGCUUGGGCUCCUACUGAAUCAGGGUACUCAUGAGGCCAGUUGAGUCCAGUCAGCAGCUACCUCUGGCCCACUGACUUCCUUCCUCUCAUCCCUUGAUUCGAAAUGCAGUUGGCAACCUCACUUCCUCAUAAGACUUGCAGGCAUAUUUGAGGUAUCCCUGAGGGAUGGGGUUUAGACUCCCUGCUUGCUAAACAUCUACAUUGUUUUUACCUCUUCAAUCCUCAGGUUAACAUGUGUGAAAUGAAGAAUUCAAGGGAAAGGGAGUUCUUGGGUUCCACUCGAAAGGGAGGGAAGCAGAGGGUCGGCUGGGCUGAUUCUGAUGGUACACUGGACAACAGGGCCAACGAGGAGCCAGGAGGAAGACGGAGCCUGAAAAGGCAAAGGACCAACGGCAAGCAAGCCUCUGGGGUCUCCUUCGGGAAGAAGUCAAAUCUUCGAGAUAGUCUGAGAUCGUUGGAACAGCAGGCCUGAGAGGCCAAGCUAUGUCUUCAUUCAAGAGGAUCGGCUAUUGUGUCCAAUGAGAUCAUUUAGAAUUUGUUUUGCAUUAUGAUUGGCUUUUGUGAUGUUGAUGCAGUGAUAGAUCAAGGACUUUGCCACUUCAGCCCUGGGUGCCUAUGGGGCCAGGGUCAACACCUUGACAGCCAGGAAGGAGAUCUCUGGCCAGGAACAGCUGACCUCAUGACAGAUAAUGACCUCUUUAAUUCCUGGAUGGCGCUCAAGCUCCAGGGUUCCCACCUUCAAAACCUAGAAUAAUGGGAGGCCUCUCUAGGAUGAUUUCUAAGCACCCAAUGGCAGGACUACUCCUAUACUUCAGCCUGUGCCUAACUUGCCAUUUACACUGUGGUCUAGUUGAAUGGAAUCUCCCAGAGUAUGGGAGGCACGGUCUGCUCAACCGUAUAUCACAGUCCUGCAAGUUCCAUCAAGUGAAGCUCCCAGUCUAAAAAGGGAGGCAUCUGAGCCCCAUGGUUCCUUAUUCUCCCUCCACAUCCCAUGCCCAGUGCACUGUGGGCUCUCCCGUCCUCUUUCCUCUCCUCUCUUCUGACUGGCCCACUAGCCCCACCACCAGCCAGACUCUGGAGCCCAGGUUGUCGCAAAGUCAGGGGUGGAGGGAAAACCCGAGCCUCACACACAUUCGUGAUACCUGCUGAGCCCACAGUCACAAGAACUUUCUUCCUUUCAGUCCUCAGUGUGACUUCAUGGCCCAAGAGAAGUUCUGCUGCCCAGUUUCCCAGGCUGCUUCUGCUGUUCAGUCUUCCCUGAGGACAGACACACUGUAGGCCCUGCUCAGUGUGGGGCAGUGGGAUCAGAGGCUCCCAUGACCUGUGACCACUGGCCCCAUGUCCAUGAUGCUGAUAUUAAGCAAAAUCUUGAGGACAAAUGGAGCUGCCUGUCAGGCCCUUCCAGUGAUUUACUGGGACUGUCCGGACAAAGCUUCGAUCUAUCCAGCAGGAGUGUGGCCUUUACUUCAAGAAAAGCCAAUUAUGAGAAAUCCAAACAGGAGAAACCAAAAUGAGGACAAAGGGAUUCACAUUACAUACAAAUGGAUUCUUUGCAAAAGACUUCCGAUGGCACCCGUCUGUUGUGUAAAAAGAGGCACCCUUAGGUGUGGGAUUGUAGGGUGACCUCGGAGUGAGUCCUUUAAGAUGAAACCACUCCUCUUCAGUAGACCUGCAGUGAUAUGUUAACCCUGAGCUUUGCCAAGACGAUCAAUGGCCCCAAAUGUAGGAACUUGCCCCAGGGAAGAAAUUUAUCAGGUUCCACCACCCAUAAGAAUUUUAAUCUCUCUCUAGGAGGUCACUCCAAAUCAGAAAUAAAAGUUCGCAGAUGAUCAUUUAAA